UACGGAGGGGGCGAGCGUUGUUCGGAGUUACUGGGCGUAAAGCGCACGUAGGCGGUGCGGUAAGUCAGGGGUUAAAGGCUGCAGCUCAACUGCAGUAAGGCCUUUGAUACUAUCGUGCUAGAGUGCCGGAGAGGGUAGCGGAAUUCCCUGUGUAGCGGUGAAAUGCGUAGAUAUAGGGAGGAACACCGGUUGCGAAGGCGGCUACCUGGCCGGUAACUGACGCUGAGGUGCGAGAGCGUGGGUAGCAAACAGG
This 253-nucleotide ribosomal RNA is filed under the name uncultured microorganism. Its description in RNAcentral is "partial 16S ribosomal RNA". It matches the Rfam family "Bacterial small subunit ribosomal RNA", at positions 524 to 776 of the family's 1533-position model. The record is from RNAcentral.